Hydra vulgaris (swiftwater hydra) is the source of this 576-nucleotide long non-coding RNA. RefSeq lists it as uncharacterized. The record is from RefSeq and is a predicted model, not a curated record. NCBI's taxonomy places the organism in Eukaryota, Metazoa, Cnidaria, Hydrozoa, Anthoathecata, Hydridae.
ACGCUCUAUACCAAAAACCUGAGACAAAAAAAAUGCUACAAAAAAGAACAGCAUGUAUUUUCUCUGUUUAAAUGAUGUUCGCAAACAUAUUUCAACUCUCAUAACAGCAGAGAUUUCGUCUAUUAUUGUCAAAUCAUAAGCCAAAAUUUUCACUUAAAGUUUUCUGACAAUUAUUAUGCAAGUCAUCAAGGAGACAAUACAAAAACAAGCUUGUCAACAGCUUGAAAAAAAUGACAAUUAUACUGGUAGUGACGUGACUUUUCCAAGAGUAAAGCAACGAUUUUUGCUUCAUAUGCAAAACAUCAUCAGAAUGUUUUUGUUGUUCUGUUCUUUGACGUUAUUCUGUUCCCUUUUGCCACAAACCACUAUUGAUACUAGUCUCAUGGCUUCAAUUGAAUUAAGCACAAAUGAAAAAGAGACGUGGUUGAAAGCACUCUUUUCACUCUUAAAGCUUAUUUCAUUAUUAUGACACACUUUCUGGAAAUCACCUACAAAAGAGUGAUUUCUUGUGGAAUUUUUCAGUUGAAAUUCAAUAAUGUCAUAUGUUGGGUUGUUGUCUAAAUAAAUGAUGAAAAA